Aethalodelphis obliquidens (Pacific white-sided dolphin) is the source of this 399-nucleotide long non-coding RNA. RefSeq lists it as uncharacterized. Lineage: Eukaryota; Metazoa; Chordata; Mammalia; Artiodactyla; Delphinidae. The record is from RefSeq and is a predicted model, not a curated record. The transcript has 2 exons.
CUCCGCGGCAUGUGGGAUCUUCCCAGACCGGGGCACAAACCCAUGUCCCCUGCAUCGGCAAGCGGACUCUCAACCACUGCGCCACCAGGGAAGCCCAACGAGUGACAAUUUUAAGGUGGCAAUUUACAUCAUCUCAUUUACUCUUCACAACAACCCUACAAAUCCUAGACAUAGUGGACACAAACAGCUGCACUGCCCUGUUGGUAGAAAACUCAUCUCUGACAUCAAGCUUCAAAACUUUGAAUGGAAGAAAAGCAGUGUUAUAAAUGGUGAUUAGACUCUAAUUAGCAACUGGAGGUAUGGUUUAUUAUAGCGGAAAAGGUUUUUGUAAGCCAAGCUGCUAAUUCAUUGCAAUCAACUGACUAAUAAAGAAACUCUUAUAACACAAUCCUAAACUGG